CUUGUCUUUGAUGGGACCAGUUGUUUUUCUCUUUUGUGCACGCACAAUAUACUUGCUGCUAAAAUUCAUGAAAGUUUGUCGGAUUCCGAGCCGUUUGUGGUGCCUGGUUUGCCUGAUCGGGUUGUGUUGACAAAGGGUCAGCUGCCUUCCUAAUGAGUGACUCUAGAGAUAUUCAUAGUUCAAUAAGAGAAAUGGAGCAAGCAGUAUAUGGGGUUGUGGUUAACACUUUUGAGGAAUUGGAAAGGGCGUAUGUGAAUGAAUUUGGAAAGGUUAGAGGUGGUAAAGUUUGGUGUGUUGGACCGGUUUCA
Molecule: unclassified non-coding RNA, 308 nt
Filed under: Hevea brasiliensis (rubber tree)
Lineage: Eukaryota; Viridiplantae; Streptophyta; Magnoliopsida; Malpighiales; Euphorbiaceae
Source: RNAcentral